RNAcentral lists this small RNA (36 nucleotides) under Acididesulfobacillus acetoxydans. RNAcentral's name for it is "CRISPR spacer". Lineage: Bacteria; Bacillati; Bacillota; Clostridia; Eubacteriales; Peptococcaceae. The record is from RNAcentral.
GUCACAGGGUAUACGAGGUCCGCCAAAUGUAUGACU